This is a long non-coding RNA of Erinaceus europaeus (western European hedgehog), 300 nucleotides long. RefSeq lists it as uncharacterized. Lineage: Eukaryota; Metazoa; Chordata; Mammalia; Eulipotyphla; Erinaceidae. The transcript is spliced from 3 exons. The record is from RefSeq and is a predicted model, not a curated record.
GAAAGGAGAGGGGAAGCCAAGGAGCACUGAGCACCUAUUACUGUGCAUGCAAUGGUAGCAACAGGGAACAUAGAGCAGUAAUUAGAAGUAUUGAUUUUGGAGUCAGACUUCCUGCAUCCAGAUCCCAGCUUUGCCACUCACUAGGACACGCAUCCAGUUUAAGGAUUAUUACACCAGACUCUAAGAUGAGCUAACCACACCCAGAGAUGUGAGUAACUUACCUAAGGACACACAGCUGGCAGGUGAGGGUCCUCUUGCUGAUCCCUGCAGCCUCUUCUCCCUACCCGUAGCAGGAACCAC